Molecule: transfer RNA, 66 nt
Filed under: Triops sp. EPP1
Lineage: Eukaryota; Metazoa; Arthropoda; Branchiopoda; Notostraca; Triopsidae
Description: tRNA-Gly
Source: RNAcentral
ACUUCUUUAGUAUAAUCAUUGUAUAAUUGACUUCCAAUCAAUAGGACCGUCUAGACGGAAGAAGUA